UGGGGAAUUUUGGACAAUGGGCGAAAGCCUGAUCCAGCAAUGCCGCGUGUGUGAAGAAGGCCUUCGGGUUGUAAAGCACUUUUGUCCGGAAAGAAAUCCUUGGCUCUAAUACAGUCGGGGGAUGACGGUACCGGAAGAAUAAGCACCGGCUAACUACGUGCCAGCAGCCGCGGUAAUACGUAGGGUGCAAGCGUUAAUCGGAAUUACUGGGCGUAAAGCGUGCGCAGGUGGUUUGCUAAGACCGAUGUGAAAUCCCCGGGCUCAACCUGGGAACUGCAUUGGUGACUGGCAGGCUAGAGUAUGGCAGAGGGGGGUAGAAUUCCACGUGUAGCAGUGAAAUGCGUAGAGAUGUGGAGGAAUACCGAUGGCGAAGGCAGCCCCCUGGGCCAAUACUGACGCUCAUGCACGAAAGCGUGGGGAGCAAACAGGAUUAGAUACCCUGGUAGUCCACGCCCUAAACGAUGUCAACUAGUUGUUGGGAUUCAUUCCUUAGUAACGUAGCUAACGCGUGAAGUUGACCGCCUGGGGAGUACGGUCGCAAGAUUAAAACUUAAAUGAAUUGACGGGGUCAUAGCUGUUUCCU
This 583-nucleotide ribosomal RNA is filed under the name uncultured bacterium. RNAcentral describes it as "partial 16S ribosomal RNA". It matches the Rfam family "Bacterial small subunit ribosomal RNA", at positions 355 to 1375 of the family's 1533-position model. The record is from RNAcentral.